GGACUACUAGGGUAUCUAAUCCCGUUUGCUCCCCUGGCUUUCGUGUCUCAGUGUCAGCAAACCCCCAGUCAGCUGUUUUCACCAUUGGCGUUCCAAAUGAUAUCUACGCAUUUCACCGCUCCACCAUUUGUUCCACUGACCCCUAGGUUGCUCAAGACCAGCAGUAUACCAAGCAGUUCCACGGUUGAGCCGUGGGAUUUCACAAGGUACUUACCAGUCCACCUACACACGCUUUAAGCCCAGUGAUUCCGCCUAACGCUUGGCACCUCUGUCUUACCGCGGCUGCUGGCAC
This 292-nucleotide ribosomal RNA is filed under the name uncultured bacterium. RNAcentral's name for it is "partial 16S ribosomal RNA". The record is from RNAcentral.